RNAcentral lists this ribosomal RNA (406 nucleotides) under uncultured bacterium. Its description in RNAcentral is "partial 16S ribosomal RNA". It matches the Rfam family "Bacterial small subunit ribosomal RNA", at positions 30 to 526 of the family's 1533-position model. The record is from RNAcentral.
AUUGAACGCUGGCGGCAGGCCUAACACAUGCAAGUCGAACGAGUGGCGGACGGGUGAGUAAUGUUUGGGAACCUCCCUUAUGGCGGGGGAUAACUACUGGAAACGGUAGCUAAUACCGCAUACCAUCAGAUGUGCCCACUUGGGAUUAGGUAGUUGGUGUGGUAAAGGCUCACCAGGCCGACCAUCCCUAGCCGGUCUGAGAGGAUGACCAGCCACACUGGGACUGAGACACGGUCCAGACUCCUACGGGAGGCAGCAGUGGGAAAUAUUGCGCAAUGGGGGCAACCCUGACGCAGCCAUGCCGCGUGAAUGAAGAAGGCCUUCGGGUUGUAAAGUUCUUUCGGUAGCGAGGCGUUAACUACAGAAGAAGCACCGGCUAACUCCGUGCCAGCAGCCGCGGUAAUUC